RNAcentral lists this transfer RNA (71 nucleotides) under Ochotona thibetana sacraria. Its description in RNAcentral is "tRNA-Phe". It matches the Rfam family "tRNA". Rfam says of the family: Transfer RNA (tRNA) molecules are approximately 80 nucleotides in length. Their secondary structure includes four short double-helical elements and three loops (D, anti-codon, and T loops). Lineage: Eukaryota; Metazoa; Chordata; Mammalia; Lagomorpha; Ochotonidae. The record is from RNAcentral.
GUUCAUGUAGCUUAUAGCACUAAAGCAAGGCACUGAAAAUGCCUAGAUGAGUUUUUGCAACUCCAUAAACA